This 2251-nucleotide long non-coding RNA is filed under the name Mytilus galloprovincialis (Mediterranean mussel). Lineage: Eukaryota; Metazoa; Mollusca; Bivalvia; Mytilida; Mytilidae. The record is from RNAcentral.
CAGAGACAUAUAUACACAGAGAUUGGCAACUGUAACAGUGGUCAGCGAAAUCUAAUCCAAACAUCGCAUCACGCGAGACUUUAACGAGAUCGCCAUUUUUAUUCUAUCACGACAAGUACACCACCUCGCUUCGAUUUUUAUUUUACAUCAAGCAUUUCAAAACAGCAUAAUGUAAGUACAUAUUUCAAUUUCGUAUAUGAAUUACCUUGUUUUAUUCAGUUUGUAGUAGUUAUUAGUUAAAAUAUUGCGACGAUUAACGUUUAAUUGCAGUAUAUAAUAAAGGAAGCUUGGCCGACAUGCACGUUAUGAAAUUUUUUAACCCCUGUCUGUUUACACUUUAUAAACUUUUCCGUCUUCAGAGAAAUAUUGUACCCAGCACAUGCAUUACUUUCCUAUGACAAACUGGAUUGGUAUAUAGAGGUUGUUUUUUUCAUAUUUUCAACCACUUUGAUGCAAUUUACAAUUAAAAAUCAGUAUUAUAGCGGCCAUGUUUUUUUUUUGCUUCAAUAUCAAGACAGACCCCUGUCUGUUUACACUUUAUAAACUUUUCCGUCUUCAGAGAAUUAUUGUACCCAGCACAUGCAUUACUUUCCUAUGACAUACUGGAUUGGUAUAUAGAGGUUGUUUUUUUCAUAUUUUCAACCACUUUGAUGCAAUUUACAAUUAAAAAUCAGUAUUAAAGCUGUCGGCCAUGGUGUUUUGCUUCAAUAUCAAGACAGACCCCUGUCUGUUUACACUUUAUAAACUUUUCCGUCUUCAGAGAAUUAUUGUACCCAGCACAUGCAUUACUUUCCUAUGACAUACUGGAUUGGUAUAUAGAGGUUGUUUUUUUCAUAUUUUCAACCACUUUGAUGCAAUUUACAAUUAAAAAUCAGUACUCAAGCUGUCGGCCAUGUUAAUUUUCUUCAAUAUAAAGACAGACCCCUGUCCAUGGCUACAGGUUAUAAACUUGUCCAUCUUUAGAGAAAAAUUGUAACCAUCACAUGAUUUAAUUUCACAAGACAUACUAAUACUGGAUUUGGGUAUAAAAAUUGUUUUUUUCAUUAUUUCCACCACUUUGAUGACAUUUACAAUUUUAUAUAUAUAUUUACAUUCAGUAUCUGACAGCUUUUUUUUUUAACAGGAUCCUGCACGUUAUAAAAGAACAAAGAUGUUGAUCAAAUUUACCUAACAGUGCAGCAUACAAGAGAUAAAAUAUCAUACAUGUGCUGAAUGUAGGACUCCCAAGUCUUUCUGAUUGAAAUUAAGAAUCCCUGGCAAACAGGAACAACUAUUAGUGAUGACUUUAUCCGAAUGUGACGGCACUGUCAUGUAGUGGACUGAUUACUACUAUCAAUGUGAUACUUAACAAUGGUUUUGUAAGAGAGAAAAUUACAUGUGCUUAUCCUGACUGUAAAAACACCAUACUAUUGUAGUUCAUAUGCCAAACUUGAUGUACAUGUGUAUGCGAUUUUUGUGCAAUUGAUGGCGAGACCAUUGAACUAAAAACAAAUACAAGACUCUGCAUUCAAUCUAUUGAAUUUGAAGCAGAAGUGAUACAGUGGCAGUUGUGCAGAUGGAUAAAAAAGCAAAUAAAUAUCUUGUGUUCAACUUCAUUUGUCUUCUUUAUGUUUACAAAGUAUUACAUGUACAUAGUUUUUACAUACAUGUACAUGUAUAACAAUAUGAUGAUGUAGUAUGAUUGCUAAUGAGACAAUGAUUUACAUGUAUGACUAUCAUUGGAAGGCCACUCUAUAAUAUCUUUGUACAUCAUGAGAAUGGAAAAUGCUACCCUUGUAGCAUAAAGGUAGCAUAAUGUAAAAAAAGAGAAACUGUUCAUUUAUCUUACAACACCCCUGUGAUAUAUCUUGACAGUACUAAAUAGCAAAAUAUUUCGUUUCACAAAUUCCUUCCUCUCCAUGGAAAGUAACAUAUUUAAUUGUUUACAUGAAAUGACAAAAUGUGUAGAAAAAGAAGCAAGAAAUGUCCACUCUACUACUGUACACUAGUCGCUCACAUUGGUCACCAUCUAUGUUUGUUUCAGUCCUUUAACAAAUUGUCAAUGGUGCUUAUUUAUAUUUAUCUGUUUCAGUUUUCUUCUUUAUAAUAUAACAUGUUCUCAUUCUGUGAUCACUAUUUCACCUCUCCUGUUUUGAAAAAAAUGUUUAUGCUAAUAUUUUCUGCAAUAAAUUGAAAAGGCACAGAUGCUAUGACUAAACAGAAAUGUGAGGUAUAUGUCAAUGAGACAACAACCCAACGACAACAAUAUUCU